UGUCAUGUCGGAUCAUUCAAUAUUAGUAUAUGGAAAAUAACAGGGUUUUGUGUACUUACACAACAACCCCGUCAUCAUCGAGAUCAGCCGCCUCAAGAUCCGCAGGUGUCGUCUUUCUUUUAAGAGCCCAUUUGACUAACGAUUUCUGUCUCCUUUGAGUAUGCAACACAGCAAAAGUAAACAACAACUGGCCUAAAUAAAUAGUCCCCGACAAUAUCCAAAACAAAGCAAAAACCCGCCCACCUUUCGUUGAAAAACACUUAUCAAUAUAACCUAAGCUCGUGAUCGUGCCCACGACACAAUAAAACGCGUGAACAAAAUCCAAAUCCUCAACAGCAACCAAAACCGCGGUCCCGGCCCCCAUAAGAACCACCAGCAAAACAACCAACAGUAUACACUUGUUUCUAACUCUAUUUGAUUCCAUUCUUUUAAGCGUUUCUGCAGUACCAACGGUUUGAUGCAUAUGAAACGCUUUCGCAAGAAGUAGUUCUUGUUUUUCGACUAAAAGAUCUGCAGCUUUACUUAGUACCAGCCCGAUAAGAAGCAUACCAAAAAAGACAAAUAAGCAGGCGAGUAGUAUUGUAAGAUCACUACCGGGGAAAAGAUCUCCGUACCCAACAGAAGUCAUUGUGACCACUGUGAAAUAAACUGCGUCCAGAACGCUGUUUGUUUUUCGGCCUUUGAUUUGGUGUCUAAGGAAGUAAAAACAAAGCGUGCCGGUACCCAAGUAGAUGCAUAAUAUGAUGGCUACUUUUCGGUAACUUGGAUGGAGGUAGUUAAAAACAGAUUUGGGCCGUGGAAGAGAGGCGGUCGAUUUGGAUUGUGAAGGAAAUGAAUCUGAUGGUUGUGGUUGGCUAGGGGUUGUUGGUGACGUUCGGUUUCCAUCGUUUGAUGACAUGGCGGCUCGGUGUGCAACAGUUCUUGGUAGGCCUGUGAAACAAUUCAAAUGUUUGAUAUCAAAUUACUGAAACUAUACAAAGAACCUU
RNAcentral lists this long non-coding RNA (986 nucleotides) under Helianthus annuus (common sunflower). RNAcentral's name for it is "hypothetical non coding rna". Lineage: Eukaryota; Viridiplantae; Streptophyta; Magnoliopsida; Asterales; Asteraceae. The record is from RNAcentral.